RNAcentral lists this transfer RNA (67 nucleotides) under Marmota marmota marmota (Alpine marmot). It matches the Rfam family "tRNA". From Rfam's summary of the family: Transfer RNA (tRNA) molecules are approximately 80 nucleotides in length. Their secondary structure includes four short double-helical elements and three loops (D, anti-codon, and T loops). Lineage: Eukaryota; Metazoa; Chordata; Mammalia; Rodentia; Sciuridae. RNAcentral also lists the same sequence under 1 other name. The record is from Rfam by way of RNAcentral.
GGUUGUGGCUCAGUGGUAGAGCACUUGCCUAGCAUGCAUGAGGCACUUGGUUCGAUCCCUGGCACCA